UCUCCGUAGGUGAACCUGCGGAGGGAUCAUUACAGAGACUCUGCCCUUUGGGUAGACCUCCCACCCUGUGUCGUUAUACCUUCGUUGCUUUGGCGGGCCGCGGGGCCCCGGCCCCGCCCCUGGCUCCGGCUAGGGCGCGCCCGCCAGAGGACCUCAAAACCUGAAUGUUAGUGUCGUCUGAGUACUAUAUAAUAGUUAAAACUUUCAACAACGGAUCUCUUGGUUCUG
This 228-nucleotide unclassified non-coding RNA is filed under the name plant metagenome. Its description in RNAcentral is "partial contains small subunit ribosomal RNA, internal transcribed spacer 1, and 5.8S ribosomal RNA". The record is from RNAcentral.